AUUGAACGCUGGCGGCAUGCCUUACACAUGCAAGUCGAACGGCAGCACGGGUGCUUGCACCUGGUGGCGAGUGGCGAACGGGUGAGUAAUACAAAGGAACCUACCUUAUGGUGGGGGAUAACGCAGCGAAAGCUGUGCUAAUCCUGAAUACGCCGUGUGGGGGCAAGCGGGGGCUCGAAAGACCUCGCGUGAUUCGAGCGGCCGAUGACUGAUUAGCUUGUUGGUGGGGUAAAAGCCCACCAAGGCGACGAUCAGUAGUUGGUCUGAGAGGACGAUCAGCCACACUGGGACUGAGACACGGCCCAGACUCCUACGGGAGGCAGCAGUGGGGAAUUUUGGACAAUGGUGGCAACCCUGGUCCAGCAAUGCCUCGUGAGUGAAGAAGGCCUUCGGGUUGUAAAGCUCUUUUGUCAGGAAAGAAACACCGGCUCUAACACAGUCCGGGAAUGACGGUACCUUAAGAAUAAGCACCGGCUAACUACGUGCCAGCCGCCGCGGUAA
Molecule: ribosomal RNA, 501 nt
Filed under: uncultured bacterium
Lineage: Bacteria
Description: partial 16S ribosomal RNA
Rfam family: Bacterial small subunit ribosomal RNA
Source: RNAcentral